AAGCGUUCCAUAUUUUUACCAUGAUCACGAAGGUGGUUUUCCCAGGGCGAGGCUUAUCCAUUGCACUCCGGAUGUGCUGACCCCUGCGAUUUCCCCAAAUGUGGGAAACUCGACUGCAUAAUUUGUGGUAGUGGGGGACUGCGUUCGCGCUUUCCCCUG
RNAcentral lists this small nuclear RNA (159 nucleotides) under Cervus hanglu yarkandensis (Yarkand deer). RNAcentral's name for it is "U1 spliceosomal RNA (ENSCHYG00000020999.1)". It matches the Rfam family "U1 spliceosomal RNA". Rfam says of the family: U1 is a small nuclear RNA (snRNA) component of the spliceosome (involved in pre-mRNA splicing). The record is from Rfam by way of RNAcentral. Lineage: Eukaryota; Metazoa; Chordata; Mammalia; Artiodactyla; Cervidae.